CAGUGGAAGUGUUGUUUGACAUGUGUCUGAAAUAAAUACAACAUUGCACACCAUAUUUUAUAGGGGACUUUUACGCAAUAUGACCAGAUGUUUAAUUUAAGCUGUAAACCUCUCACUUUCUUUAAAUAAGUCUGUCAGUAAAACUAGAGCGAAAAAAAUCCUGUGCCUUUAAAGAUCAUUAAGGCAAUAUAGCUUGUUCUCCACACAAAUAUUUUCAGAGGGAAGGUUAACUUAUGUUUCCUUUUAUUUUAUUUAUUGAGGACAUAAUAUGGACUGUUUAGCUUGACAUUUACACAUCAGUCCAUUAGCUUACACCAUUUGAGGUGAGUCAUGCUCUGUCACGAGAUCUAGUGAUGAUGUUAAAUACAGAUGGAGGUUUCAGGUUUGUAAAUUACAUCGUUGCUUUGUUACGCUCUAGUCAUAAAGUGGAACAUUUCUUUCAAGGUUUACCACACUACCACACUCCAUCCCACCAAAAUUAAACACAUUUAGUCAGAUUGUUUUCUCCAAAUGCUUAAUGCUGAUCUAUAACUCAUGGAGUUGUCACUGACCAUGUUACCUGACCAGUAAAAGGAUUUACCAAACUGAGUUUACUGGUCAGGUGAUGUGGCCAGGAAAAGGUUUUACCAAACUGAGUUUACUGGUCAGGUGAUGUGGUCAGGAAAAGGUUUUACCAAACUGAGUUUACUGGUCAGGUGAUGUGGUCAGGGAAAGGUUUUACCAAACUGAGUUUACUGGUCAGGUGAUGUGGUCAGGGAAAGGUUUUACCAAACUGAGUUUACUGGUCAGGUGAUGUGGUCAGGGAAAGGUUUUACCAAACUGAGUUUACUGGUCAGGUGAUGUGGUCAGGGAAAGGUUUUACCAAACUGAGUUUACUGGUCAGGUGAUGUGGUCAGGAAAAGAUUUUACCAAACUGAGUUUACUGGUCAGGUGAUGUGGUCAGGAAAAGGGUUUUACCAGGCUGAGUUUCCUGGUCAGGUGAUGUGGUCAGGAAAAGGGUUUUACCAGGCUGAGUUUACUGGUCAGGUGAUGUGGUCAGGAAAAGGUUUUACCAAACUGAGUUUACUGGUCAGGUGAUGUGGUCAGGAAAAGGUUUUACCAAACUGAGUUUACUGGUCAGGUGAUGUGGUCAGGAAAAGGUUUUACCAAACUGAGUUUACUGGUCAGGUGAUGUGGUCAGGAAAAGGGUUUUACCAGGCUGAGUUUCCUGGUCAGGUGAUGUGGUAAGGAAAAGGGUUUACCAGGCUGAAUUUACUGCCUACUAGGCACAGAUGUCAAUUCAAUGUCUAUUCCACGUUGGUUCAACUUAAUUUCAUUGAAAUCACGUGGAAACAGUGUUGAUUCAACCAAUGGGUGGGUGGUCAGGUGACUUGGUAAAGAAAAAUGGUUUACCAGACUGAGUUUACUGGUGAGGUGAUCUGGUUAACAAGACUGGGUUUCCUGGUCAGGUGAUGUGGUCAGGAAAAACUCAUGGCCUUACUUAUGGGCAAUAGCAGUAGGACAUUAAAUGUUGCCAUGAUUCAUGACAUCCUCCAUUCAUGAUUCACAGGAAGGGACAAGUUAAUGAUCUGGGGCUUGUGGAGAGUUGAGUCUCUCUAUCGUGUUGAUUUGAGGGUGCUAAUGUUGAGGUGGAGGCCUACUCUGUUGAGCAGUGGUCUGAUAUGGCUCUUCAUUGGCGGUGUCUUCCCAUCCUCCCCCGUGUUGUGUGCGUCAAGCCCAUGGGACAGUAACAAGGUCCAUAUGUAGCCUCUUCCUCCGGCCUCCCCCCCAAACCUGAGGGGGGUAGUGUUAACAGGAUGACAGCCUAUUGAUUUACUCACAGAAAGAGAAGGGGGAAUGAAAGAGUGAGAGUGAGAGAGAGAGAGAGAGAGAGAGAGAAAGAAAGAAAGAAAGAAAGAAAGAAAGAAAGAAAGAAAGAAAGAAAGAAAGAAAGAAAGAAAGAAAGAAAGAAAGAAAGAAAGAAAGAAAGAAAGAAAGAAAGAAAGAAAGAAAGAAAGAAAGAGUAAUAGCUCAAAUAAUUUGAAGUAGAAUCCCCAAAACAUACGGUCAAGAAUCAAGACUAGUUUCUGGGUUGGAAGGUGCCUGUAACUACCACCAGAAACUACUAGAUGUGUGUUUAAUGUGACUUAAACUGCUAGUAAUUUUAGCUUGCUUAUUUUUUUAUGACUAUGUUUUUAUGACUGACACUUUUUAUGACUAACAUUUUCUUACCAGAAGCAUUUGAAGAAGUCAUCCUUUUCA
This 2241-nucleotide long non-coding RNA is filed under the name Salmo salar (Atlantic salmon). RNAcentral's name for it is "lncRNA (ENSSSAG00000096000.1)". The record is from RNAcentral. Lineage: Eukaryota; Metazoa; Chordata; Actinopteri; Salmoniformes; Salmonidae.